RNAcentral lists this ribosomal RNA (391 nucleotides) under uncultured bacterium. Its description in RNAcentral is "bacterial SSU rRNA". It matches the Rfam family "Bacterial small subunit ribosomal RNA", at positions 505 to 898 of the family's 1533-position model. The record is from RNAcentral.
GUGUCAGCCGCCGCGGUAAUACGGAGGGUCCGAGCGUUAUCCGGAUUUAUUGGGUUUAAAGGGAGCGUAGAUGGGUUUUUAAGUCAGUUGUGAAAGUUUGCGGCUCAACCGUAAAAUUGCAAUUGAAACUGGAGAUCUUGAGUAUAGUUGAGGUGGGCGGAAUUCGUGGUGUAGCGGUGAAAUGCUUAGAUAUCACGAAGAACUCCGAUUGCGAAGGCAGCUCACUAAGCUAUUACUGACAUUGAGGCUCGAAAGUGUGGGUAUCAAACAGGAUUAGAUACCCUGGUAGUCCACACGGUAAACGAUGAAUACUCGCUGUAGGCGAUACACAGUCUGCGGCCAAGCGAAAGCAUUAAGUAUUCCACCUGGGGAGUACGCCGGCAACGGUGAA